Molecule: ribosomal RNA, 429 nt
Filed under: Pseudomonadota bacterium
Lineage: Bacteria; Pseudomonadati; Pseudomonadota
Description: Proteobacteria bacterium partial 16S ribosomal RNA
Rfam family: Bacterial small subunit ribosomal RNA
Source: RNAcentral
UGGGGAAUAUUGGACAAUGGGCGAAAGCCUGAUCCAGCCAUGCCGCGUGUGUGAAGAAGGUCUUCGGAUUGUAAAGCACUUUAAGUUGGGAGGAAGGGCAGUAAGCGAAUACCUUGCUGUUUUGACGUUACCGACAGAAUAAGCACCGGCUAACUCUGUGCCAGCAGCCGCGGUAAUACAGAGGGUGCGAGCGUUAAUCGGAUUUACUGGGCGUAAAGCGUGCGUAGGCGGCUAAUUGAGUCGGAUGUGAAAUCCCCGAGCUUAACGUGGGAAUUGCAUUCGAUACUGGUCAGCUAGCGUGUGGGAGAGGAUGGUAGAAUUCCAGGUGUAGCGGUGAAAUGCGUAGAGAUCUGGAGGAAUACCGAUGGCGAAGGCAGCCAUCUGGCCUAACACAGACGCUGAGGUACGAAAGCAUGGGGAGCAAACAGG